This 373-nucleotide ribosomal RNA is filed under the name uncultured organism. RNAcentral's name for it is "bacterial SSU rRNA". It matches the Rfam family "Bacterial small subunit ribosomal RNA", at positions 526 to 896 of the family's 1533-position model. The record is from RNAcentral.
CAGAGGGUGCAAGCGCUGUUCGGAAUUACUGGGCGUAAAGCGCGCGCAGGCGGAUCCUGUAAGUCGGAAGUGAAAUUUCGGAGCUCAACUCCGAAGCUGCUUCUGAUACUGCGGAUCUAGAGAUCGGUAGAGGUCGGUAGAAUUACAGGUGUAGCGGUGGAAUGCGUAGAUAUCUGUAAGAAUACCCGUGGCGAAGGCGGCCGACUGGGCCGGAUCUGACGCUGAGGCGCGAAAGCGUGGGGAGCAAACAGGAUUAGAUACCCUGGUAGUCCACGCCGUAAACGAUGGGCACUAGGUGCCGGGGGGAGCGACCCCUUCGGUGCCGCAGCUAACGCGAUAAGUGCCCCGCCUGGGGAGUACGGCCGCAAGGCUG